Molecule: long non-coding RNA, 307 nt
Filed under: Mytilus galloprovincialis (Mediterranean mussel)
Lineage: Eukaryota; Metazoa; Mollusca; Bivalvia; Mytilida; Mytilidae
Source: RNAcentral
CAAGUCCAACACAAUUUCUCACGUUUCUUACAAAACUUAUAUUCUUGUGAUGUAUUCUUUUGUUGAAAAAAAAUGUAUAGAUAUAGAUAGAUAUAGGAAGAUGUGGUAUGAGUGCCAAUGAGAGAACUCUUCUCCCAAGUAAUAAUUCAUAAAAGUAAACCAUUAUAGGUCAAGGUACGACCUGCAACACGGAGCCUUGGCUCACACCGAACAGCAAGUUAUAGAGGGCCCCAAAACUACUAGUACAAAACCAUUCAAACGGGAAAACCAACGAGAAACGAAAAACACAUAUGAACUACAUAAACAG